GGGGCUGUAGCUCAGUUGGUUAGAGCACACGACUCAUAAUCGUUUGGCCGAAGGUUCAAGUCCUUCCAGCCCUA
RNAcentral lists this transfer RNA (74 nucleotides) under Rubripirellula sp. RNAcentral's name for it is "tRNA-Ile". It matches the Rfam family "tRNA". From Rfam's summary of the family: Transfer RNA (tRNA) molecules are approximately 80 nucleotides in length. Lineage: Bacteria; Pseudomonadati; Planctomycetota; Planctomycetia; Pirellulales; Pirellulaceae. The record is from RNAcentral. RNAcentral also lists the same sequence under 1 other name.